CCUACGGGUGGCAGCAGUGAGGAAUAUUGGUCAAUGGGAGGAAUCCUGAACCAGCCAUGCCGCGUGCAGGACGACGGCUCUACGAGUUGUAAACUGCUUUUGUACCGGGGUAAAAUGCUCUACGAGUAGGGUUUUGAAAGUACGGUACGAAUAAGGAUCGGCUAACUCCGUGCCAGCAGCCGCGGUAAUACGGAGGAUCCGAGCGUUAUCCGGAUUUAUUGGGUUUAAAGGGUGCGUAGGCGGGCAUUUAAGCCGGCGGUCAAAUGUCGGGGCUCAACCCCGGCCUGCCGUCGGAACUGGGUGCCUUGAGUGGGCGAGAAGUAUGCGGAAUGCGUGGUGUAGCGGUGAAAUGCAUAGAUAUCACGCAGAACCCCGAUUGCGAAGGCAGCAUACCGGCGCCCUACUGACGCUGAGGCACGAAAGUGCGGGUAUCGAACAGGAUUAGAUACCCCGGUAGUC
Molecule: ribosomal RNA, 459 nt
Filed under: uncultured bacterium
Lineage: Bacteria
Description: partial 16S ribosomal RNA
Rfam family: Bacterial small subunit ribosomal RNA
Source: RNAcentral